CCGGAGACAUACCCUUCCCCUAAUGAAGCUCCAGCCUGAGCUUGGGCAUGUUAGCAGCUGCAUGUACUACCUUCAUUCCUUAAUAUAGGACGCUUUGUUCGCCAAUACGUCCUAUAUCAUGGAAUAGAGGUAAUUUUUUUCGUGAGCGGGCGGUCAGAAGCUCGCUGUGGCCCAAGACUGGUGGAGGGGAGGUGUGGAAGGUAAUAUGGUGGUCACAUUCGUGAGGUGCGGCUAUCGGUCUCCAUGGGGAGCUGCUGUUGGCGACCACCUGGACCACCUCCCUUAGCUACUGCCGGCGGUGAUGUCCUCGACCUCCUGCUGCUGGACAACAUUACUUGUCACAAUAUGAUGCCUGGCCAACAAUCUGCUGCAUGAUGCAGCUAUCCUUGGCAGCGGCUAUUGGUCCCUGCGAGCUAUGUACUGGAGCCUCUUAUUUCUAGCUCUGUGGCGCUCUCGCAGCUGGCACGGGUUCAAUUGGUUCGGAUGUGCCCCUGGAGCUGCCACCGGUCUCCCUCAUCGAUGGCACGUUCGUACAUAUGUGGUGUUUAUUUCUCCAGACCUGAGACCCUGUCGAGCAUGUGAAGGUGGAUCUAGCAUCGUCAUAGGCGUACCUGCAUGCUGCUGGGCAUGUGGCCUCCUGCUAGUAGAUGGUCAGCUCCCGCGCAGCCAGUGUGUUGUAUUCGCCUCCUUUGCAGUAAUAGCGCACUUACUGGCGCUGUCUUCGAAGAAGAAAGUUUGAGCGGGAAGAGCUGCGUUGUGUGCUCACGGGUGGUGAACAUGCCAGAAACCCUGCUACCGCGGCCUGGGCCGAGAGUCAUGCGAGUAUCCCCUGCCCUGACCUAGCCGAUGACCCAAGCCUGAUGCUACGGCCAUGUAUGUCUUCAUUGAGUGUGAUUCUGCCAUAGUGAGGGUAAGGAGUUAGGGAAGCUGGAACCAAUAGCCAUACUACUUGGAAGCUGGAUGACCCAGGGACGUCUGUGACAUGUCUUGGUCUCGCCAUCGUGCUAGUUGGUUCUCCUUUUUUGCUGAUAUCAUCAAUUGCGCGAUGGGCAAGGAGGAGGCAAGAUGGGACCAGUAGCUGCACUACUUCAAAUACGGAGGACCCAGGACCCAGGGACAAUCGACACAGGAUCCAUGCCUUUGUUUCGCCAUCUACCUUUUCUGAUUCUACGUACCUAGCUGAGUUGAUGAUCAACAGUUGCACAAUGGCCUUGGUGUUGAAAAUCGAUGGCAUUCCUCUACGUCUCCGUGUUUUGGGUCUGCGCUUGGUGUGGUGCAAAGGUUGGGCGAGGACUACAUGGCUUUGCAUGACUCCCAUGUUGAUCGUUGACCAGAGGUUGGGCGAGGAUGACAUGGCUCUACCGUUGACUGUUGAACGCAGCUAUGUGUUUAGUUCUGCUAGCCUUCGGAUGCUUACG
Lolium rigidum is the source of this 1418-nucleotide long non-coding RNA. RefSeq lists it as uncharacterized. Lineage: Eukaryota; Viridiplantae; Streptophyta; Magnoliopsida; Poales; Poaceae. The record is from RefSeq and is a predicted model, not a curated record. The transcript has 8 exons.